This 68-nucleotide transfer RNA is filed under the name Dreissena rostriformis. RNAcentral describes it as "tRNA-Trp". The record is from RNAcentral. Lineage: Eukaryota; Metazoa; Mollusca; Bivalvia; Myida; Dreissenidae.
AGAAAACUAAGUUAAUAGACUAUCUCGCUUCAAACGGGACAGUAGGGAUAAAAGAGCCCUGUUUUCUG